RNAcentral lists this ribosomal RNA (278 nucleotides) under uncultured bacterium. RNAcentral describes it as "partial 16S ribosomal RNA". It matches the Rfam family "Bacterial small subunit ribosomal RNA", at positions 80 to 354 of the family's 1533-position model. The record is from RNAcentral.
UACUCCCGCCGGCGACCGGCGCACGGGUGAGUAACACGUAUGAAACCUGCCCGUAGCAGGGGGAUAAGCGGAAGAAAUUCCGUCUAAUACCGCGUAACAACCCGAGGAGGCAUCUCCUCGGGUUUAAAGGAAGCGAUUCCGGCUACGGAUGGUCAUGCGUCGCAUUAGCUAGUUGGCGGGGUAACGGCCCACCAAGGCGACGAUGCGUAGGGGUUCUGAGAGGAAGGUCCCCCACACUGGUACUGAGACACGGACCAGACUCCUACGGAAGGCAGCAG